RNAcentral lists this long non-coding RNA (813 nucleotides) under Gallus gallus (chicken). RNAcentral's name for it is "lncRNA (ENSGALG00010004513.1)". The record is from RNAcentral. Lineage: Eukaryota; Metazoa; Chordata; Aves; Galliformes; Phasianidae.
CAGUCUGCAUGUGGGCAUAUCUUCAACUAAACGAUACUAGGCGGGGCUGCAAACUCUCCAAAGUACUGUUAUUUUCUACCUCAGAUAACCUUCAGUCCUUUAAAAAUAUCUAUUGCUGAAAAUAAGACCUCAGAUAACCUUCAUCCUUGGAUAACCCGCAUAAAAUCAAAGGCGAGGGACUAAUAGGAGAAAGGGGAUUUGGAAACAAACUUGUCCUCAUAUUGCCCACACAUGAAGAUCUCCAGCAGAGGCAGUUACUGGGAGAAGACAAUAUGCAUGCAGCCAUGAACCACACACAAGAACUCAAGGAAUUCACUAAUGCCUGGCUGGGUGUGCAACCAAGAGGGGGUGAAUAAUGGUAGAGAUAGAUGACAACAAUGGGCCAAAUCUGCCCUGACAUGAAUCUGCUUCAAUCCUGUUAAUGUUGGAGGAACUGUGGGGAGUCUAAAUUGGAGGAAAGUAUGAUCUCCAUCCAGUCCUAUUUCAAUGUCUGCUUUCUCUGAAGAUAAUGAGAUACAAGAGCACCAGCCACUGUAUGGAGUUACUCUCAAAUCAACAAUAAACAAAAAAUAGUUAAGUAAACUUACGUCUUUCUUUUAACACAGGAUCACACAUGCCUGUGUAAACUUAACUCAUCACUGACACAUUUAUAAGCAAGAAAUGGGGUGGUUUCGUUCCUCCUUGAUGACUUUGAAGACUGAAUUUGAGACCUCAGCUUAAGAAAAACACGGAUCUUUGUGCUAAAAUCUUAGCUCUGUUAUCUCAAAGCCACGAAGACAGAAAAGCUACAGUGAAACAGGACCUGAACAUGAG